Long non-coding RNA from Cercocebus atys (sooty mangabey), 10453 nucleotides. RefSeq lists it as uncharacterized. The transcript has 3 exons. The record is from RefSeq and is a predicted model, not a curated record. Lineage: Eukaryota; Metazoa; Chordata; Mammalia; Primates; Cercopithecidae.
GGGAGGCGAGGGCCGGGCAGUGGGUGUUGCCUUCUACCUCUGCGAGCGGGGAGGGGUUAGUUUCCCACAGGGGAUUUCAACCAUCACACUCAGAUCCCGCCUCCUAAUCCUCGGGCGGAGCGGCUCGGGGGCCCCAUUUUAUGGCAAUAAAGCGACUUAGCGCCUGCUGAGCGAGCCCCUCCCCGCCGCCGCCCCCGCCCUCGGCCCCACCCCGGGGCUCGCCCGCAGCGGCGGGGCUUUGUUUCUGGGGAGGAGGACCCGGAGCUCUUUUGUUUGGGGGUUUCUUGUUUUCGGCCCCCCCUCACCUCACCCCACCCCACCCCACCCCAAGCGCCUCUCCGGUUUCCUGAGCUGCGGGCUGCGAGGGAGGAGAAGCGGCGUCCUGCAACCCCCUCGGCUGGGCCCCGGGGUAAUUCGAUGCGGGCCUGGCGAGGCUCCCCACACUAGACCGGGGCUCGCGUCUCGGCAGCCUCCACCCACCGGCCCACCCUACAUUUAGCGCAUCAUGUGAUCCGGGUAAGUCAUUUGCAAGUACAACAGUUCCCCGGGUUGCCCCCCAUUCAUUUCCUGAGAACUGCAGAGAGCCGCUGAGAGGCUCUGCGUGUGCGUGUGCGCGGGUGACGCCGUGUGUGUGCGAGUGAGUGUGUGUGUGUGCGCGCGCGCGCGUGUGAGAGAGAGAAAGGGAGAGAGAGGGGGACUCUGUGUGAGGGAAAGAAAACAAUUUCUCCUGCUCUGCAGCUUCUGUUCAGCCAUCAAGUAUUUACUGAAUACCAAGCAUUGCCAGCAGCAAAGAAGAAGUAUAAGAUGCAGAAUUAUGAUGUAGUUGUGGAUACAAAACUUCAGGAAGAGGUAAUCUGUAUUUAAGAUAGUUACAUGAUCAGGUGAUAAAUUACAAAGUUCAGAUGAAUAUAUAGAGAUAGGCCUGGGUCAUGAGAAUGGGGUUGUAUAUAAGAUGGGUAAUGAUGAAUAAUACUCAUGUGUCAUAGAGAAGAUAUAUGGAGAAAGCAAGCGUUGAGUUGACACUGAACGCUGGGUGGGUAGUGAAUGAAAGUAGAACAUGUUCUGCAGGCAAAAUAGCCUGAGCAAGUAGCAGACACAAGAAUGAGCAGCUUGGAAAUGUGCAGUUCAGUAAGGUUUUGGCUGGUUUUCCUGAAGAUACAGGAAUUAAAGUAAGGUGAGACCAGAUUAUGGAGAGCUUCCACUGUGAAGCAUUUAUGUAGGUGCAUAAAUAUAUGUAGAUGCACUUAUCUAGAUACAAAUAAGAAAAUAUUUGAAGGCCUUCUACAAGGCUUAGUUAUUAUAUUGGUUUACUACAAGUUCUUCAGUUUCUAUUAGAAAUGUUAAGGAGAGUCCUAUGAUCAAGUCUGUGCCUAACAGACUUGAUCCUAAGCUCCUGCUACAUAUCAUAGGUUUUAUUCUCACUUUUCAAACUGUAUUUUUAUAGUGCACCAACAGCAUUCCAUGGAUUUUUAUGUGAAAAAUGAUUUGAUUUGUGUGAGCAGGCCUCUGCAUGCUUGUGAACAAAGUUCUUAAUUAAGAAACUCUGCCUUGGAUGGGGCUUUGGACAUCGUGUAGUCUAGCUUCCCAUCUCAGUGAAGGAAUUUCUCCUAUAAUAAUUCCCAAAGGAGAUUAUUCCUGUUUACCUAAAAUAAUUAAUAGAGGAAGAUGAAGACCUGAUUAGUUGCUUAGUCCAACAUUUAGAGUAGCCUAUUUCAUCUUUGAAAUACAUAUUUCAAAUGAAUGAAAAUUGAGAAGCAUGGUUUUUUUUUUUUUUUUUUCAGAUUUGUACUUGUUGGAAAAGUACUUUUUUUCCCUAUAUGUACUUGUUGGAAAAGAAUCCCAUGGAACACUAAAUCAUGAGUUAAUUUAAUCUUUCAAGUAACUUUAUCUUUUAAUCUAUGCAACAUGGAAUAUCUAUCAUGAUAUUAACUAUUUUAGUUAUUUGAGUUGUUUUAUAAUGUACUCCUUAUAGAUGGAACAAGGCGGUAUGUUAAGGGUACAUACAAAAAAAAAUUCUGGUUUGGUAAAAGAUUACAUCUCUUUAAUAGUAAGGAUUUAAAUCACAUCUUUUUAAAAUCUGAAGUAGUACCCUACCUAAGAGCUAAGUUAUUACCGGUAACAUACACCUCUUCUAAAUAAAAUAAAAGAGACAUGAUGAUCAUUUUUCAUAAACCUAGAGUUAAGAUUUAUCUAGUUCUGUGUACCUGAGAUUGCCCCCUUGUCAAACUGAUAUUAUCUACUUGACUCAACAUGCAGCAUAUUGUUGGUAGAGCUGGUCAUUCAGAGCAAAGCAGAAGACACAGUCUGUUUGUUGAGUGGAAAUCUAAUUUACAAAGCCAUCCAAACACAAGAAAUUGCAGGAAUGAAUUUUAAAUCACAUAUCCAAUCAAUAGUAUUGCUAGAGGAGACUUAGUCAAGGAAGACAUUACGGAGAAUUUCCAAAUUUCCAAAGAGCAAAAAGAUAGGUCUUGGUGGUCCAAGGAAGGUUUCCUAGAAGAAAUGGCAAAUGGCUGAGUCUGCGAAUCCAUUGAAUCUUGGAUUGUUUAUAUAGUCUUUGUAGUUUGAGAUAUAGCACAGUGCCUUGUGCAUAUUUGUAUUUUAAAAAUAUAUAGUGCCUUGUAGGUAUUAUAAAGAGUAGGAAGUAGACUUUAAUAAUCUUCAGUAUAGUGCAGCCAUUCAAAAUUCAGUUUAGGAUUAGAGAGAUCAUAGCUUGAGUCUUAGUUUAACCACUUGCUUCUACCUCUGAUAUUAGUCAAGAUCUUUAUCUUUUAAGUUAUAAUUUCUUCAUGGCAAGGCGGUACAUCAAAAGUCAAAAUUUGUGAUUGUAAUGAGAUAAAUCUUGUGAAGUACUUAUCAUGAUGCUAUCUUAAAUGUCACCCUGAAAUGAAACAGGAACAUGGCAGAAUGCUACUUUUGUGGCUUGCAUUAACAUAUAAAUGCAUCCUUUAUUGUUUGCUAUAGGCUUCUAAGAAGUGAUACUAAUUGGCUUAAAUAUUAUAUGUGCCAUGUAAUUAUUUUCUUUUGGAUGGGGGCCAAAAUGAGAGUGCGUGGGAGGAAAGGACAGUAAGGUUUUGUUCUGAAACGGUAGAGGUGUUCAGACAUCUUCAUGUAGCUAUUUAAAAAUUUAAUUAAGACCCAUCUUAAGGUAGGGUGAAAUAGCCUAUUUUCUAAUGAAAGAAGUUGACAUCUAAUGACCAUACAUUGGCAGGAAUAGACACAGAGUCUGAAUCAGGGAUAGAGAAAGAGAGGCAAUAAUGUGUAACAUUGGGCAGAGUCUGUCUACUCCCGCUCUGCUCUUCUCUAGCAGCUUCUUUCCUGACUGUUCCUUUGCUUUAUCCCAAAGAGGUAGUUUCUCUAUUGUCAAUGGGCUGUAUUUCUGGUAAUCUUCUCAUUUGUUUUCUUGUAGUGAGCCCUGGCUACCAUACUGGCUAAGACAAAAUAUGCUCCAACUCCAUUCCCAUCCAUGACUUUUAUUUUAGCCUGGAGGUUCAAAUCCCUAAGGACAUUUUGACUUUUAUGUUUGGCUAUCAGUGUUCUCAGAUAAUUCAAAACAAAUAGUCACUUAAAACAUUUUUUAAUGUGCUAUAAAAUGAUCUACUGUGGAGUUUUAUGGAGGUAAUUCACAUAUACUCAUAAGAAAAUACAGAACUUUAAAUAAGUUAGAGGCAUCUGUGGAGUGGAUCAGGCUCUGCCUGUGGCCACAACUCUCCUUCAUUUCCAUACUUCUUCACUUCAGCUGCCUUGUGCGUCACUCUGGAUAUGCGCUUAACUAUAGCCCAGAGGUAAGAUUUGAUAAACAAUGUUCUUAGGAGAUUAAGUUAUGAAACUUAACUCACAGGGAAACAAACAUUUGAUUUAGGAAGGGAGCUAAUUGCCUAGGAAGUCCUUAGAUGUUAUUUAUGCUAGAAAGCAAGGUCCUUCCUGGGGCCCAGACUUGUCCUGAUGUAUAGAAUAAGACUUGUUGAGAAAUGCCUGAGAACAAACUGUAAGAGUGAUACUAGGUACCCUGAAUGCCUAAACCUAAUAGGGUCCCUCUAUACUUACCUUAGAAAUCACUAGUGACUUGGACACUAUAGAGAACAGUAAAGAUUUAUGUGAUCCAGUAUAUUCUACCAAAUUAUUGUGGUGUAGUUAAGUCUGACUUAAAUAGAAAUGUGACCAGAUAACAUGCCUGUAUCAAUUUUAUGAUCUUAAAGAUAAAAUUUUUAUUUAGUUGGAAAUAUUUAAUGGAAAACGUUGAAAAUUAAGUAGUUGGCCAAUCAUGGUGAAAUUUUCUUGACAUAUAAUUUAACAAAUCCUCUAUUUUAACAACAGAUAAAAAAACAACUGAGGAAAAGCAAAUCUAGAACAUUUAUAUGAAGAAAUAGAAAUAAAACUGCUGGUUUUAUAUGGUUGAUAAAAGUUUUUUCCCUUUCUUUUUGAAGACUGGUAUUUGGGAAUGGUAGGCAAUAGAGAGGAUCAGGACUUGGUUGGUCUUAGUGCCACUGCUUAUUGUUGGUUAGAUAUCCUGCAUGUAAUCUUUUGGGCAAGUUAUGUUUUUGACUUGAGAUUUACUUUCCUCAUUUAUAAAAUAGUUAUCAAAAUUACCUACUUCACAAUGUGGUACUGAGAAUUAUGUAAAAGAGAACUAUGUAAAACAUCUGGCAGGGCAUCUGGAAGUUAGUACUCAAUGGUAAAUAUUAAGUAUUAAUAGUGAUAAUUGCAAACCUUUUCUAAUAUCGUAUGUUUUUACUGCUAUUUCUCUAGAGCUUUUCAAUUGGUCAUAUAAUAUAUGCCCUUUAAAAAAAAUUGAAAAUUCUUUCUCUUUUUCUUAUAUUAAUUUAAACUUAUAAAAUGAUGUGAUUCCCUUGUCUUCCUUCUCUUACACAUUGUAACUCUCUGCAGCACCCAGAUGCAUCGUAAAAUCUUAUUAACGUAAACAUUUUAAAACUUGAAGCAUUUUCCACAUAACAACCAUGUUUCUUGUAUUUAUCACAGAUUAAUCUAGGAAUUUUAUCACUGGGUCAAAGAUUGUCAACGUGCUUUUGACUCUUGAAACUAAAGUGCCUUUCAAAGGAGUUCUGAUAGUUGGUAUUGCCAGAGGCAACAUGUGAAUAAGGUCCUUCCUGCCACUUUCUAGCAAUGGAUAUAAUGGCUAUUAAAUUGGCCAGUUCAAUCAAUGUUAAGUGAUAAUCUCAUUUUUUUUCUUCUUUCUUUACAAGGAACAGAAAUAAUUGUUGACAUAUUGUUUUGGAUUAAAGUGGGUAAUCGUGUUGAAAUAAUUUGGAAUUGGUAGUAGUUAUAAUAAAGCACACGUUGUUGAAACUAAAUUAAAAAGACUCUUUAAUGCGUCUUGUUGACCUUUUAUGUGAAGAAUGUGUAUGGUCACAAUUGAAAGUAUUAUGAGAAAAUUUUAAAGUUUUUGAAGUAAAAAAGAAAAAACAGGCCAAAAAACUUUAAAAUAUAUUUCCAGCUUGUAGAUUCAAUUGCUGAUUUCUUAGUGUGCCAUCUAUGUUAAACUCUUAACUAUCUGAAGCCUAAGUCACUACAUGUAGAAUUAGAAACCACUGUUUUUGGUUUUAAGGGUAUUUAAAAAUAGCCUUAGCGGAAUCUUUAGCUUCAUUUUUACUGGUAAAGCCUAAUUGAGUUUUACUAUUAAAGCUGACUAUACUCUGUCUUCCUCCUUAGCUUGCUUUUACCUCAUUUAUAGAACACACCCUAGUAUUUUAGAAACAAUUACAUAUCUCACUCAUACCUCCCCCUCUCCCUCGACCCCCAAGACAAAAUGUAGGCAUGUUGAAUGAACAGACAUAGCAAAGUGGGGGGAUUUCCUUGAGCUAUAGAAUUAGUUGAUGAAAAAAGGGAGCGAGGGGAAAGUGUGAGAACUACAGAGAAAAGAACACAAUUAGAGAAGACAUGGAGAUACGAGAAAAGUAGAUUUACAUUUUGAGUUCUCAUUGCUGUCAUAUUUCUUCACAAAUUCUCUGGCAAGCUGUAAGAUGGGCUGUUUUUUAAGGUUUAUUGAUAAGCAAUUGAUUCAUAUUUUAGGUCAAACUAAUUCUGCAUCUCUUUCCCAUUGUUCUUUUGUGCUUCUUUAUUCUACUCUAUUUUUAAGAGCAGUACUGUCUAACUUGCUGACUCUUUCUGCUCUACUGUUGCUCCAGCCCUGCAGCUUCCCCACCGUGUGAAUUUGCACUUCAGUGGCACCGUUUCCUGUUAGAAACCAAAGGCAGGCCCCUGACUUUUCUAGGUGGUGAUUCACACAGGAAAGGACCUGAAAAGUUGUAUCAGGGCACCUGAUUAACUGUAGGACUAGCUGAUGGACUUGAAGCACAAAUGGGGCUGUGGAAUCUUUUCCAUACUUUUUGGUCUCCUGUGGGUCUGAGGUAGAGUGGUCAAAAAAUUUAAAGAUUGACGUAAGUAGAUUCUAGAACACAAAUUACAGAAGGUUGGAAUUGAUGUUGUUCAGAUUACCCUGGAUAGAAAUCAAGGUGAAUGAUAUUGAUAUUUGAGUCCAAAUCAGGUAUUUGUUUUUUUUUUUUUAAUUGUAGUAAAAUACAUGUAACAGAAAUGUACUGUUUUAACCCUUUUUAAAACAUUAUAUAUUGUCACGUAACUGUAUUUAACAUGGAAAUAUGUGCAUGCAUAUGUAACUUAGAAAGAUGAAAACUGUUCCUUCCUUAUUUUGUAAUAGAAGAACCUUAAAAAUCACUGUCGUAAUUUUCUUUUUAGGUUGUGAAAUACAACUUAAAAUUUUAUUAACCAUUUUAAAUGUAAAAUACAAAGUGAUGUUUUUUCACUAUGUAAGUUGAGCUUUAUAUAAAUGAAUUAUAUACAGUUCUAUUAGAGAAGGAUGAAACUAAAAAAAGGUUGAUUUGCAGAUAUUUCACUUUUUUGGAAUUAAAAUAACUGAUUGUUUUCUUCUCCCAUCCUUCUAUGUUUUUCUACACAUGUAUUUCGAUACUAGAAGUAUUGCUAAGUUUUUAAACCUAGUUUUCCUCCAAAACAAAGAUUUUUUUUUUCUUUCAAAAUCUUGUUAAUUUUUUCAUGGACUGAAUUUGCAAUCCAUGUGCAAUCAAUCUUUAUAAUAAAAAUAUAAAAUUGACAUUUCACAAUGUACCCAUAAUUGGCAUAAAUUAUUAUGAUUAAUAAGGUCAAGUUUGUGAGUUACGGUACCCAAAACUCAACUGUUUUACUAGGGAAAUCUUAGCAAAUUGAAAUUAUUUAAUUGUUUGCAUUUUACCAAAUAAUGUUUUCAGCCUGUUACGGGGACUCGAGAGAAGUGGUUAUCUGACAGUUGUCAAGUCGGAGGAAGUUAAGAUGUCUUUAUAUCUAGGUGGGCUCAUCAUUUAGCUCUCUCUGCAGUCAUUUGGUAAUGUCAUCCAGUCAGGCAAAUGUGUUUCAUUUACUUUAUUGAUCAAUAUAAUCUACAUUAUAUUUAUGACAGUGACUAUUUGUUUAUAAAAAGGCAGUAUGUAAACUUGGACAGUUCUCAAUUCCCUUGGGUACCUUUCUUGCUCAGUUCAUGUUAGUAAAUGAUGAUUAUGUCCUAGAUAGGCCUAUGCAAUGGAGUGCCAGAACUCUUGCAUCUGUUUAGACUACUCACUGAUUUUAUCUUUUUUUUUUUGUUUAACUCUGAACAAACCAAAAUGUCCAUCAUGUGUAACUCACUAAUGUUCACAACCCACUUGCAGCAAAACUAAGAACCUUAAAAUGACCUUGAAGCUAUAGCAGUAGUGAGCAUCAGAUAUAUUCAGACACUUCAUCUGAGUCGAUUAGCAACAGAGAUUUCUCUUGGAAAACAGAAGUAGAUGGGAAGCAAUGACAUUUGUAUAAAGGCACUUCCUUUUGCCACCUUUGUUUUGUUUUGUUUUUUUUUUUUUAAAGAAUUAUGGUGUAAUCUUACUGCUGUUAUUAAACUGCUUUAAGCUUCUUUCCAAGUAUCACAGCCAACUUGAAGGAUUUAUUUCCUUGCUUGCACUUUGAAACAUAGCUAUCAAACAAAGUAAGGAAAGGCAAGUGAUAGAGAUACAGCCCCUUUGCAUUUUCAGUUUGUUUGCAUUUGUUCAUGGCUUCUAAGACACUUUGAAUUUCCGAAGGAGUUUGCUUGCUUUAAACUCUGUCAUAUAUACAUUGUUACUUGAAUGAGUCUGUAAGAGAUCAAAGUACCUAUCAGCUCAGUUAGAAGAGAUUUUUUUUUUUUCUCUCUGAGAUGGUUAUAAAGGGAGAUUCCAUUGCCUUAUGUAUGUUGAGAACUUAACAUAGGAAAAUAGUGGGUUGUUAAAGUUUGAAAAGUUUCAGGGAAGAGGUGGGUGGUUUCUGUAGAGUAUCAAAUAUUUGAAGUAUAUUAAAUCUGUUAGAUUAAUUGGAAUUUCUCCUAAUUUCCUAUGUUUUAGAGAGACCUUUUCCCCCUCAAGUGCAUGUGCAGAUAUAGAAACAAAAUUUGGCUUCGACAAAUGAUGUUGCCUCUCUCUCUUAAAGUAAUAUUUAAAUGAAUAAUACAGGCUCAUUAGUAUUGUCAGUUAUUUUAUAAGAUACUUGAAACUGAAGAAGACACAAAUAUCAGAGGGCCUAAUUUUUACCUAUGGAAUUAUUAUUUUGGUCAAAAAUAUUUUCACUCCAUGUGUUCAUUGUGUGUGCUGCCUGCCCUCUCUCGGCAGUGGUCCAGCUGAUUGCUGCUAUUACUGUUAAGGGCUCUCAGUGUAUCAAAAAUAAGUUUGUUUGAGCAUGACAGAAUGAUGCAUAUAGUCAUUAUUUAAAUUGGAAACAAAAGUUCUGUACUGACUAUAUAGUGAGUACAAUCAAAUACAUAAACCAUUAGACGGGCAACUAAGCUGGUAAGCCAUGGAGAAUUUACUAUUUUGUUGGAUGUUUGUUAGAGCAUGAAGUUGGAAUUUAGAAUGUAUUUUCUCCUGAAGUACAUUUGACGAUUAUGUAUCUGUCUGUGAGGUGUGGUUAAUUCCACAGAGCUUAUCUCCUCUAUAGUGUCCCCCAAAUUAGAAUAUGGUACUGCCAUUGUGUGGUAACACUGUAUAUGACAGUGUAUCUAUUGGAAAAUGUUUGAGUUUUCAUAUGAAUUUUUAGGGGCAUUGCUAUAGUUCUGACAGAAUAAAUAUGGAUUUGAAAGUUACAAACCAUACACAACUUGGUAUUUCAGAGGCUAGGAGUUGCAGUGGGGCUCCAGUGCAUUGGUGGUGAUAAAAAUGUUCAGGGUUGGAAUCUCUUUGCACUUUGAUCUCUUAGGAACUGUCUUAAUCCUAGCUGUAUUUCACAUGCCCUUUUUCUUCAAGAUCGCCAGAAACUUGUUUAAUCUGCUACCUCUCCACAAUGAACAGCUGAUGCUGUGGCCAUAGUAGCUGUCAGCCCCCUUUUCUGCUAGAUGGGGUUAGUGUCCCCACAAAAUUCAUGUCCUUUUUGGGACCUCAGAACAUGACCUUAUUUGGAAUCGAGUUGUUGCCAAUGUGACGAAUUAGGAUGAGGUCAUCCUAGAGUAGAGUGGCCUUUAAUCCAAUAUGGCUGUGUCCUUCUAAGAAGACACACACAUAGGGAGAGCACCAUGUCACAGAGGCAGAGAUUGGAGUGAUAUAUUUACAGACCAAGGAAUACCAGCGAUUAUUGGAAACACCAGAAACUCAGAGAAAGGCAUGGAACAAAUUCUGCUCUACAGCCUUCAGAGAGAACGUGGCCCUACAAACACCUUGAUUUUGGAGUUUCAGCCUCUGUAACUGUGAGAGAGUAGAUUUCUGUUUUUAAAAGCCACCUGGUAUGUGCUACUUCCUUACUGCAGCCCUAGGAAACUAAUACACCUGCCAAUAAAUAGAGAAGAAGACAGUCUUUGGGUUUCUGCCCUGUAAGUCUGUUUCUUAGCAAACAUGUAAGUAAUUUUUAAGGUCCUCUAAAAUUCUCAGAAACAAAACUGAGCAUCUGUAGGUGAAGAACAUUCAUUUUCAACCAUCACUUCAGUGUGGCAUUUCGUGGGAAAGCUAUUCCAUACUGGGAUCCCAUCCCCAGGGAUUCUAAUCUGGUGGGUUAAGGGUAGGGCCUGAGCAUCUGUAUGUUUUAAAGCUUCGCAAGGGAAUCUGGGAAUAUGCAGCUAGAGCAGAGAAUCACUAGUGCAGAGGGAAGAGUAAGAACUAGCCAGGUGCACAUUAGAAUCAGCUUGUUGGCUUCUGAAACUUACUAAUGCCUGAGCCCCAACACCAGAGGUGAGGGAUGCAGCCUGCCGUUGGUUCGGGAUGCAGAGGGAUUGAGGAGAGUUUUGAAGCUCCCAGUGAAUUUUUUUUUUUUCCACAAUGGAUGGAUGGAUGACAAAAUAUCUUCUUCUGUAUUGUAUUCUUUCUUCUUCAUAAUUCAAGGCCUCCCGGACAUCUUCAAAGGAGGUGGCCAAUGAGUUAUAUGUGAGUUGAGUGUGUUGGUGGGAUUGGAGUGGUCACUGGUGGCUGCAGGUGGGUGGGAGCGGGUCUUUUUUUUUUUU